Molecule: long non-coding RNA, 15288 nt
Filed under: Cricetulus griseus (Chinese hamster)
Lineage: Eukaryota; Metazoa; Chordata; Mammalia; Rodentia; Cricetidae
Description: lncRNA (ENSCGRG00015033082.1)
Source: RNAcentral
CUCCGCUCCUGCUCCAGCAGCACACUGUGAUCCACCGGCAAGGAGGGACACCUUGGAGGGACGCCAAUAAGGCAUCCGAUAAGAUAAGUCUUAUAAAAUAUAUAGAUUUAUGAUAAUUAAGACUGAGCUAACAGAUGAGGAAUCCUAGUCAUUGGCCAAGCAGCUUUAAACCUAAUAUAAGAUUCUGUGUAUUCAUUUGGGCCUAACUCGGGCAGGCGGCUGGCAUAAAGCGCACAUGUGGCAGUGGGGCUCGGCAGCUUUUGGCAGAAAGAUUUAGCAUAACAGAAUGGUUUCAGUGAGCAGGAUGACCCCAUGCCCCAAUGUUCCCAGAGAAAGAGGGAAACCUGCCACCACAGCCUGCCCUGUGGGGCACUGAGAGGCAUCAGAGCAGCUUCCAUAGGCUUGUGCCAUCCCGGCACUUCUGGUGUUUAGACUUGGCAUUUCUGAGAUGAUAAAGACAGAUCCAGAUAAAGAAAAACCUCUAAACAUUUACACUACAUUUAAAAAUAUAUGUGGGAUUGUGAGAAAAAAAGUAACAGGAGGAAAUAGAGUAGCCAGUUGUAGUGGCUAACGCCGAUAGGAUUUACUGAAGGAAGCAGAGGCAGAAGGAUUUCCACAAAGAAACCCUGUCUCGGGAAAAAAGAAACAAAAACAAAAGUAAAAAUAAAGUAAUAAAAAAGUCACAUAAAGAUAAAAAAUAUACAGAGAAUGUGAAUACUAUAUGCCAUAUUAUUGUCUUUAAAUUGUUUGAUUGCCAAGGAAAAACUUAUGGCUGCUAAAAUACAUUUGAUUAUAAAUACUGCUAAAUUAAUCCAACUUAUACAUUUUAAAAAUGCUUUGACUUCAAAAUUUAAGUCUAAGGACAGGCUACUUGGAAAGAGAAUUUCUGUUGGUGUUUCUACAGAAAAUAAAAAGCUAUGGAUUCCUUCCAGACUAAUAUGGUUUGAUCAAGCAAGACCCCCUAAAGCUGACUUGAUACAGCCUUACAGACUACAAAACCAAGGACUUGGUCAGGUUUCUAUGUUUUAUCAUGAUCCUUAUCAUAUAUGAACAUCAUCCCCAAUCAGCAGAAAGCAACUUAGAAAGAACGACGCCCAUAUUCCCAAAUAUUGUUUUAAAUAUUUGUUUUCAUUUAAUGGGGUUGGUUAUAAAUAAUAAUAAACAUAGUCAAAUUUUUUAAAGAAAAAAGGGAAAUAGGAUAUAGGAAUGAAUACUUUACAUUGGUAUAGAUUUUCAUUUAUUGAUACAACUUUAAGGUCAUUUUUGUGAUAUGUAUAUGUCGCCUCUUGUUUAGGUAUUGUGUUUAUACAUUUCUUUUAAAAUGAUAUACAUAAUUAAAUACAGGUUAUAUAGUUACCUAUAAUAGUCAGAACUUAUAAUUAGGUUAGUUAGGUUUUCUAGAUUUACAGAGAUGUAUUUGAGAUGGUUAGGUAUUCUUCAAACCUUUCAAAGACCUACAGAAAUAUGGCAUUUAAAUGGUUUAGGGUUUAUCUUGGCAAUGAGACACAACUGCUCCUGGCACACCAAUUAUGUCAGAAAGGAGGAUGGGAAUUGAAGAAAUUUGUUAUGGAGUUUUCUUUCAACAUGGCAAGAUUAGCCAUUUGGGCAAGAAACUGCUCUUGCCUGGACUGUUUGUUGCUGAAUAAACUGGACAUGCAGGACCCACAAGAAAGUGACUGCUGAACUUACAAAACAAGACAGUACUAAAGGGUUCAUGUUGAAAUGGAGAAAUGUGACAGACACACUGUGGCCUAUGGGCUGAAGAAGGAUGCCCCAACAUUACAGAGAAACUUUGGGUGACUGUCCAGGUAGUGAGAUGUCUCUGUCAAUUCUAGAGUUUAUAUAUUAUCCUUCUGUGGUCUUUGAUAGAGUUGAAGACAGAUAAUUAUUUUUAUAGUUUUCUUCACUUAUUAUAAAAGAUAAGUUAUCUUUCUUUUAAUUUAGAUAAAAAGAGGAGAUGAUGGGGAAUGUACUAUGUAUGUUUAUCUUAUUGAUUGUUAAAUAAAAUACUGUUUGGCCAAUGAGACAGCAAGUUAGAUGGGACUAGGAGUCAAAGAGGAUUCUGGGAAAUGUAGUAGAGAAGUGAUGAUCCAGGCAGGAAGUGAUAUAGCAAAGAGACUCAUAUUUAAAGAAGGAGGAACAGGAAACAUCCCUCUUUUCCCCUCUGUCCUGCUCCAGUGGCACAAUGUGAUCCACCGGCAAGGAGGGACACCUUGGAGGGACACCAAUAAGGCAUCCGAUAAGUCUUAUAAAAUAUAUAGAUUUAUGAUAAUUAAGACUGAGCUAACAGAUGAGGAAUCCUAGUCAUUGGCCAAGCAGCUUUGAACCUAAUAUAAGUUUCUGUGUAUUCAUUUGGGCCCUAACUCAGGCGGGCGGCUGGCGUAAAGCUCACAUGUGGCAGUGGGGCUCAGGCAUCUUUUGGCAGAGAGAUUUAUCACAACAUAUGACUUCUCAGAAAUUAGCAGUUAUACCACAUGUCUAUCAACAGUACUACUAAGGAAUUUUGACUUAUUAAGAAAUAUUACUACAAUGCAUAGGUAUUGCUUUCUAUUUUGAUAUUCACAUAUACAUCUGCUGGCUUCCAUGCUGUCCCCAACAAUUAAUGUCCACUUUAUAUCUUAGCAAUCAUGAUCCCAAAGGAAAAAUUAUGUCAAGUGAGAUGGGCCUUUACAAUAUGUAGUCCUGCAAUAGUCUCUGUCAAUCCACAUCUGGUUAAAUACAACUGUUGUGGACUUGAAAUCCAGGUCUUCAAGAAGCCACCCUCAGGAAGGGGGGGGUCACAUUCUGAUAUUUAUCAGAAAGAAUAUACAUAAGCUGGAGAUAUAGAUCAGGGGUUAGGAGUGCUUCCUGCUCACAUAGAGGACCUGGCUUUGUGUCCAAUACCCACACAGUGUUUUACAAGUACCUGUAACUCCAGCUCCAGGGUAUCCAAUACCCUCUUCUCACUUAUGCAGGCUCCUGCACACAUAUCAUGUAUAUAGAUAUCCAUAAAAUAAUUAUUUAAAAAGAGUAUGAGAGUUGCAGCUAUUGUUAAUUCAAUGAUCCUUUCCAGUCUAUCUCAGUGUGGGUAUCUGUCAGAAGCUGUAGGAUCUAAGAUACUAACCCACAUGAAGUCAGUACAUUCACCUGCCACAGUGUCCUCAUUGCCAGCCCAGUAAACACCAUUAGAUUCUGGGGAAACAAACAAUAGGCAGUUAAUACAGGCAGUAGUAAUUUAUUACUGCAGCAGCAGAGUGUGUUCAUUUUAUACCCUUUUAUUAACUCACAUUUCUUACAGGCAACAAGAAAAGAGCAGGAUAUUUGUGUAGGAGAAAUCCAAAGCUUAGGGGCUUGACUUUUUAAAAAUAAACGAUAAGCAUACCUAAACUUGUUCUCAGAGAGAAAUAAUAUCUUGAUUAUUCUGGAGAGCAAACAAACCUGAACUUCAGCUUUGUUGUCUUCCAACAUCAUUUCCUAGACAAACAUCCUUGAAAAUCAGGUCAAGAAUAAAGCAUAUAAAAGCCUUUGGCUAUCAAGCAUGCAGAGAUAUGUAAGAAUCACUUCCAAGGUGACCCUGACUCAACAAAUGAUGAGUACUAUCUGAAGAGCAUAAUUAAACAGGCAGUAUUACAAACACAAACUAUUUGAGCUGUGUGUGAAAGCUGAAAUCUCCAUGGGAGAACUACUCCUCCCAUCCUUCAGUUAUGAAGAGUGUCCUUGGUCCUUGUCACUAUCUUCCCACUCCAAGGCAACUACCAGAGUUGAUCAUAAACUAAUCACUGCUUCUCAUUAAAGGCUUUGUGAUAAACCACCGAAAAAAUUAAUAGAGGUUAGAAAUAAAGCAUUUUGCCACUGACUUAACUCUUCCUUCAAUUUACGAGUGGUUUGUUGAUAUAUCAUUGGGACUGGGCUUUAAAACUCUGAAUUUUGUUGUCCAGGCCAAUUUUUUAAUACUGGUCCAUUUGGCAGUGCUAUGAUGAAAUAGGUAAAUUGAUAUCUGUUAUGGUUGCUGUUGUUUUCUUUCUUUUUUUUUUUUUUUUUGUUUUCAAGUAGAGGCAAGCUAGAGUUUUCUGAAAAAGGAGCCACAGCUGAGUAAAUGCCUUCACCAAAUUGCCUAUAGGCAAGUACUUUGGGCAUUUUUUGUUAAUUAUUGAUGGGGGUGGCUAGCCCACUGGGCAAAGAACUAUAGACAAUUAACAAUGGCUGGGAGAAGGCAAAUAAGGAUCCCCCAGCAAUGAGCCCCCUUAUUAGUUGUCCAAUGCAGACUGGUCAGCCUUGAAACCAUUUAUAUACCAACAACAAAACCAUACACAUGCAUACACAUCCACAUGUGAAAAGAAGAAAGAAAAAGAGGCUAUCAACUUGAAAGUGGGGAGUGAAUAUGUGAGGGGGUUGAUGGAGUGGAUAUGGGAGUCCCUGGAUGGAAGAAAGGGGAAGGAAGUAAUAUAAUUGUAUUUCUUUUAUUAUUAUUAUUAUUAUUAUUUUAAUUAUUAAUUAUCUUUAAUAAUUUGUUAAUUAUUUAAUAUCAAAUUAUUUAAAUAUUUGUGUUUAUUUAAUUGUUUAAUCAUUUAAAUAUUUAAAUAUUUAUUUAGUGAUAAUUAAUAAUUAUUUAUUAUUAAUUAGCUUUAAUUAAAUUACUUCUUUAAUUACUACUCAUAUUUACAUUUCCAUCCCCCCAUUCCCUCUCCCUCCCAUCCAUACCCAUGUUCCCCACCAACCCCAACAACCCCCCCAACCCAUUCCCCAGCUCCUCCCCAAGGAUAGUGAGGCCCUCUACCAGGGACCUUCAAAGGCUGUCAUAUCAUUUGGGGGAGGGCCUAGGCCCUCCUUGCUGUAUCUGGGCUGCAAUAGUAUCCCUCCAUAGGGAAUGGGCUCCCAAAGUCCAUUUGUGUUCUAGGGUUAAAGACUGGCUCCACUGUCAGAGGCCCCAUUGACUGCUUUGGCCUCCUAUCUGACAGCCACAUUCACAGAGCUUGUUCCAUUCCAGUGCUGUUUCUGCAGCAUUAUGACUAGUGUCUCCAUGCAUUCACUAGGUCAGGUCAACUUUCUGUGGGUUUCUGUAACACUGUCUUGGCUUCUUUGCUCAUCCCACCUCCCUCUGCACAAUUGGAUUCCUGGGGUAUGGUUCAGUGCUUAGCUGUGGGUGCCUGUUUCUGCUUCAAACAGCUACUGGAUGAAGGCUCUAGGAAUGGUAACCAAGGUAGACAUCAAUCUCCUUAUAGAGGAAGGGCAUCAAAGGCAUCCUCUCAUACCACUGCCUAGAUUCUUAGAUGGGGUCAUCAAAGUGGAUCCCCUAACAUUGCACCUGUGCCAGACUUCUCUAAAAACCUGUAUUGUCUCCCUCUAACAAGGCAUCUCCUUUUAUGCCCUCCUCUAUUCCUCCCCUGUCUCAGUCCUCUUGUUCUCCUCCCCCUUCCCCUUCUUCCUUUCCCACCUCCUUCCUUUCCACCCAUACCCUGUGCUCCCACUUUGUUCAGGGAUUCUUGUGCCCCUCCCCUUCUUCCAGGGACUAAGACAUCUUCUCUUGUGGUCCUCCUUGUUUCCUAGCUCCUCUGGCAGUGUGGAUUGAAGACUGGUAAUCUUUGCUCUAUGUCUAAAUAUUAUAUAUGAUGAGUACAUACCAUGUUUGUCAUUUUGUGACUGGGUUACCUCACUCAGGAUGGUUUCUUCUAGUUCCAUCCAUUUGCCUGCAAAUUUCAAGAUUCCAUUGUUUUUUUCUGAGGAGUAGUACCCCAUUGUGUAAAUGUACCACAUUUUCUCUAUCCAUUCUUCAGUUGAGGGGCAUGUAGGUUGCUUCCAGGUUCUGGCUAUUACAAAUAAUGCUGCUAUAAACAUAGUUGAACAUAUGUCUUUAUUGUAUGAAUGUGCAUUCUUUGGGUAUAUACCCAAGAGAGGAAUUGUUGGAUCUUGAGGUAGGCUGAUUCCCAUUUUCCUGAGAAACCAACAUACUGAUUUCCAAAGUGGUUGUACAAGUUUGUACUCCCACCAGAAAUGGAGGAGUGUUGCUCUUUCUCCAUAUCCUUCCUAGCAUUGUCAUUGGUGUUAUUGAUUUUAGCCAUUCUGACAGGAGUAGGAUGGUAUCUCAGAGUGGUUUUGAGCUGCAUUUCCCUGAUUGCUAAGGAUGUUAGCCCUUUAUCAAUUGUCUUUCGGCCAUUUUAGAUUCCUCUGUUGAGAAUUCUCUAUUUAGUUCUGCACCCCAACUUUUAAUUGCAUUGUUUGGUGUUUUGGUGGCUAGCUUCUUGAGUUCAUUGUAUAUUUUGGUAAUCAGCCUUCUGUCAGAUGUGGGGUUGGUGAAUAUCUUUUCCCAUUCUGUGUGCUGGUGUUUUGUCUUGUUGACUGUGUCCUUUCCCUUACAGAAGCUUCUCAGUUUCAUGAGGUCCCAUUUAUUAAUUGUCGAUCUCAAUGUUUGUGCUACUGGUGUUAUGUUCAGAAAUCAGUCUCCUGUACCAAUUUGUUUGAGGGUACCACCUAUCUUCUCUUCUAGGAAGUUCAGUGUGACUGAAUUUAUGUUGAGGUCUUUGAUCCAUUUGGACUUAAGUUUUGUGCAUAGCGAUGGACAUGGAUCUAUCUGCAGUCUUCUACAUGCCAGCAUCCAGUUAAUGCCAGCACCAUUUGUUGAAUAUGCUUCCUUUAUUCCAUCAUAUAAAUUUAGCUUCUUUGUCAAAAAUCAGUUCAUAGAUGUGUGGGUUAAUAUCAGUGUUUUUAACUCAUUGGUCAACCUGUCUAUUAUGUACUCUCUAUCCAUAUCUUUUCAAUAUUGUAUUUGAAGUACUAGCUAGAGCAAUAAAACAAGGGGAUACAAAUUGGAAAGGAAGAAGUCAAACUUUCACUAUUUGCAGAUGAUAUGAUAGUUCACACAAGUGACCCGAAAAAGUCUACCAGGGAACUUCAACAGCUGAUAGACACCUCCAGCAAAGUGGCAGAAUACAAGAUUAACUCAAAAAAUAAAUAGCCCUACUAUAUACAUAUGAUAAAGCACUGAGAAAGAAGUCAGAGAAACAUCACUCUUUACAAUAGCAACUAACAACAUAAAAUAUCUUGGAGUAACAUGAACCAAAAAUGAGAAAGACCUGUAUAGUAAGAACUUUGAGUCUUUGAAGAAAGAAAUUAAAGAAGAUACCAGAAAAUGGAAAGAUCUCCCAUGCUCUUGGAUUGGUAGGAUCAACAUAGUAAAAAUGGCAAUCUUGCCAAAAGCAAUCUACAGAUUCGAUGCAAUCCCCAUCAAAAUCCCAACACAAUUCUUCACGGACCUUGAAAGAACAGUACUCAACUACAUAUAGAAAAACAAAAACCCAGGAUAGCCAAAACAACCCUGUACAAUAAAGGAAAUUAUUGUACAGGCAUCACUAUCCCUGUCUUCAUUCUCUAUUAUAGAGCCAUAAUCCUGAAAACAGCUUGAUAUUGGCACAAAUAUAUAAUUCCAUUUCAAUUAAAAUAUAUUUUAAAUGUUUUAUUUGUGUGAUUACAAUAUAAUUUAAAUUAUGUCAUGCUUUCAAGCUACGUUCUGACAUGUUCUCUUCUUCAUUUCCUGCCUUCAAGUUCCUGCCUUGAAUUCUUCCCUGACUCCCCUGAGUGAUGGACUAUAAGCUAUAAACUUAAGCAAACCCUGUCUCCCCAAGUUGCUUUUGUUCAUAGUGUUGUUUUGCAGAGAGAAAAAGCAAACUCUAGAGCACAUAAAAACUUGUUUAUAGGGGUGGUAUCUUUUCUGGUCACAAUUUGGAAGAAAAUAUCCAACCAGCAUAGCAACAAUCCUGAUAAGAGACUCAGGCAAGUUACUAGGUGUAUAUGGGAAGACACAGCCUGAGAGUCUGGCUCAGGUUUGAGGAAAAUACAAUCUCAUUCAGUUUCUCAAGGACCCUAGAAAAACUACUAUAAUAUACCAGGCAGUAGUGACCCCAUGGAUGGGAAGGGGUCUUUAGUAGGCCACUCCCCUUACAUCUCUAUAUCACCCCCUAUUGUCACACUAGGGUCAAUUUUCGAAUUCAUGAAACUGGAAGACACUUCAAACUAUCCUAAACCAUUGCAUUAACUAUAGUAUAAAAGUAUAAUGUUUGGCGUUAUCUGUCCUCAAAUAUCAAUAGAUUCCAUUAUUACUAAAUUAAUUUUUAUCUCCAGACCCUUUCAGUGGGUAGAAUUUAUAUGUUUCAUCAGCUGCAUUGUUUAAAUAUUCAAAUAUGCAAGUAUUUUAUAUAUAGUAUAUAUAAUAUAUACACAUUUAUGAGCAUGCCUAUCUGUAUUUGUAAAUGUGUAUGUGUCUGUAUAAGCACCAAUUUAAAGAUAUCUACCUCCACAUUUCAGUUUCAGUACACUCGAACCCAAAUUGAGGCUUUGGCUCUAUUAGUUAAAACAUGUUUUGGUGUGUCUUUCAAAUGUACUGGGUAAUGUUUCUAUCUCAUUUAUGUUAAGGCCAAUGGAUCCUUUCAGAGGCCUUAUUGCUUUUCACAGUGCCUAGACAUUUUAGUACAUUUAAGGAUGUUUUCAGUUGCAUUGGUUGAAGGGUGUCUGAUAACUUAGUCUCUUUAUUUGUAAAACAAAUUUAUGCAUUUUGAUCAUAUUCCCUUGCCAAACUCCUCUCAGAUACUCCUUUUGCCCUACCCACCCAAUGAAGGCGGUGACGUAAUGAGUUCACUAUACCCAAGAUAAAUGAUAAAUGGGUGUUUUACUAGGGAGCAACUUACAAAGAUAAUACUGUUGCGGCCUUCCUGAGGAUGCAAUCUCUGCGCUUCUGAUCUGAUCCAGGACAACAGAGAGGGAGGGAGAAGAUAGAGAGCCCCCAUGCCUUACCUUCUGGUCACACCUGAAGCCACACCCAAAGGGGCAAGGCCACCAACCCAAAUUCACUGGCAAGGAGUGCUACUACAGCCCAACUUCAUGUUCUCUCUCUCCAAAAGAAACAACAAACAAAAAAGUGAAAAUCAAAGUGAACAAAUAAAAACAUGAACAAAAAUAUAUUUUUUGGUUUUUUUCCUCCAUUUUUAUUUAAAUUAGAAACAAGAUUGUUUUACAUGUGAAUCCUAGUUCACUCUCCCUCUUCCUCCCCUCCUCCUCUGCCCCCCCCACUAACACCCUACUUAUUCUAUACCAUUUCUGAGUGAGGUAAUCCAGUCACAAAAAGACAAACAUGGUAUGCAGUCACUCAUAUAUGGAUUUUACACAUAGAGCAAAGGAUUACCAGCCUACAAUCCACACCACUAGAGAAGCUUAACAAAAAUAUAUUAAAACAAAAAAGUUCAUCAAAAUGAAAUGUGUCCCUGUACGCGUGCACACACACACACACACACACACACACACACACACACACACACACACACAAACUGACUUGUGUUGGCGGCCAACUAUUCCUGAGAAUGGGGACUGCCUGGCAGUGUGAUUGCUAUAUCCAGUAACACACCAUUUGGGAAGCAGAUUUUCCCUUUCCCAGGAGGGAUCAACUGCAAAUAGCAACUUUGUUAGGGAUAGGACUUUUUUUUCUACCUUCCUUUCUUAGUGCUGAUACUUUUUUCUGAUUUGAACCUAUGGAAAUCCCGCACAUGCUAUCAAGAAUUUUGUGAUGUGUGUCACUGUUUGUGUCUGGAAAACACUGUUUUCUUUGAGCCAUCACCCACCUCUGGCCCUUAUAAUCGGAUCUACCUCUUGAUUCCUGAGUCUAUUAUAAGAAUAGGCUUCUCUGAUGGAUUCCAGUUACACACUGAUAACACUGUGUUAUUAGAAGUCAUUAGAUCACUAUUUAACAGGAUAUUAGUAGUAGGUUUUAUCCAGGCCCAGGAUGACUGUCUUUAUGUGAGUUGAACAUUUUUGCUUACAGCCUUUAAUAUGAUUUCUUUGUUCUGAACAUUUAGGAUUUUGAUUACCAUGUGUCACGGGAACUAUUUAUUGUUCAGUAUAUCAAUAGUUGUUCAAUAGGUACCUCUUUCUUUUGAUUGGGAAAGUAUUCUAUUGUUUAGUUAAAAUUUUUCUCUACACCUUUGACCUGCAUUUUUUUCUCCCUCUGCUAUACAUAUUGUUGUUGUUUUGGUCCUUUCAUAAUGUCCAAAUUUUCCUGUAGUUUUACAUAUGGAUUUUCUCUUUUUUAGACUUCUUUUUAGAUUUUUUUGUCUUCAAGAUCUGAAAGUUUCUCUUUCAUGUCAUUUAAUCUGUUGGUGAGGCUUACAUUUGAGUUUUUAUUUGACAUUCUGAGUGUUUUCAUUUCCAGUUUUAUUUUGGUUAAUGUUUACUUUGGGGAUUUUGCUUCUUUGUUCAGCUCUCUUUUAAUUUCUUGAUUUGCUUUCAUUGUUUCAUUCAACUCUAUGUUUUCAGUCUUCAUUAAGGCACUUACUAAUAUCUUGUCAAAGGACCUUGUAUAUAUUCAUAGUUGUUAUUUUGAAGUCUUAGUCUUAUGCUUCAGUUAAAUUCAUUUUUUCAGGGUCUAUUACCAUAGAUUUUCUGGCUUCUGAAGGAAGAAUACUGUCUUGUUUUGUUCAUGUUCAUGUUUUUUUUCUCUGAGAUCUAAGCAUCUGGAAUCAUGAUGUUUCAAGUAUUCUCCUGUAGAUACCUUCUCUAAUCUUUUUUGGGUGGGUAUUCCUUUCUUAGGAUGCUGCUGUGUGGGGUCCCUUGGCGAGAAUGGUUCUGUAUUCACCACAAGUCACCAUGGAAAGGAACGGGCUAGAUGGAGAGACUGAAAGAAUGAAGCUACCUUUCAGAGUCAACAGAAUCUGAACUGUAACUUGAGCUGGCAUCCUUCUGACAGCAAAUUACUGGGUCACUUCCUCAGCUUUUGAAGUCAUCUCAUCAAUGCCAUGGACAAGAGGGACUACUGGCCAUGCAGUCCUGAGACCGGUGUCUGAAAGCAAAGCCAACAGCAAGAGCCGCAAUCAGGAGGGAGGAGAGAUUCCAAUGAUGAAUGGAUGAUGAUGAUGAAUUAUUUGGAUGGAUAUUUCAAAGACCAGGAAUGAGGUCACAUCAGAACACCAUCCCUUAGUGUCACACAAUUAUGUACUAACAUGUCAACAUCAAAGAUUUUUUGUUUUUGUCUUUGGCUGUCCUGGGACUCACUCUGUAGGCCACACUGGCCUCAAACUCACAGAGAUCCAACUGACUCUGCCUCUGGAGUGCUGGGAUUAAGGAUAUGUGCCACCACCUCCAAGCAACAUCAAAUAUACUUUAUGAUUACUUUGCACUAACUAAAAAUUCUUAUACAUCUAUGCAGACUGAUAGUGUGAUUUUAUUUUCAUGAUUUUUGUUGUUGCUUGUUUGUUGGUUGGUUUUUCAACAAAAUGGACAUGUCCUCAAUCCUUCCAGACAGCAAACACUGGAUAAAUAAGUAAUGUCACUGGUAAUGGCUAAUGACAAAUACAUCAGUGGUGAAUGUUUGUUGGACAGAAUGUAAUUUAUUUGACAAAACCAAUUAGAAAAGAAAGUAUUCUGGAAUCAGCUCACACUUCCUAAUGGGAUAAUCAGUAUUGACCUUUGAGAGAUCCUGCAAGUAAAUAUAUUUAAGAUGUUUAAUAUACAUCUGCUACCAGUGUUUCUUCUUAAAUGAAAUCAAAGGAUUGUACUUUGAUCACAUGCCCUCUUAAAACCAUUCAAAAAUAGUAGUGUGAAUUCAAGCGAGCAGCUGCUUCUGUUCACAGAGACAAUACUGACAUCCCCACAGACUUUCUUAAGUAAAAUCUCUAUGACUCAGAAUCAUUAUAGUAGUUUCUUGAGUCAGUCAUAUUAAUGUAUCAUAUUUUCCUAACACACUCUUAUGCUGACUUCAUGACAACAGACAAGAAAGAAGAAAAAUAAUUAUUAGGAAUUUGCCUUAUUUGGAAUUUGCCAAAAUAUUUAGGAAUUUGCCAAAAUAUUUGACUUCAGCAACUUGACUACUAAAUCAACAUUGGGACCUGGUCUCUGGUUAAAAUUGUACAGAAUUAUCUCAUGCCAUAGGAGUAUCUCACAUAAAUGUGUUUUUUCACUCUCCAAGUAGAUGAAAAUUAAUUCAUAAUGUUUCACCUUAAGAAGAAAUCAAUGAAUGAUUUUUUAUUAAUUUGUUACAUAAUAGAUUAUAUUAUUUUGGCUUGAGCAGCAAAUAUCCCUCUUAGAUUCAUGCAUAAGAAUGCUUGAUCCCGCCGGGCGUUGGGGGCACACCCCUUUAAUUACAGCACUUGGUAGGCAGAGUCAGGCGGAUCUCUGUACGUUCAAGGCCAGCCUGGUCUCCAGAGCGAGUGCCAGGAUAGGCUCCAAAGCUACACAGAGAAACCCUGUCCCAAAAAACAAAAAAACAAACAAACAAAAAAAAAAACAAAGAAUGCUUGAUCUCCAGAUGAUGGCACUGUUUAGGAAGCUUUUAAAACCUGUCCAAAGUGGAGCCUCACUAGAGGAAGUAGGUCAUUAUAGGGAGGUCUUAUAGACUAGGUCCACUUCCUGUUUUCUCUUUGCUUCCUGACUGCAGAUGCAAUGUUACCAACAGCCUGUUGCUCUCACUAACAUGCUAUUCCCACCAUAGUGGACCCUAAAUGACCUCUCAAGCUGUAAGACAAGAUAAAUGCUCCCCCCUUGAGUUGUGGCUUGCCAGGUGCCUUGCCACAGCAAUAAGGAAAGUAAUACAGAAAAUGUUGUUUCUCUCCUAAAGGGGUGACCCAAGACCUUCUAAGACACUUGUGGAGAGUGAAAGAAUUACAAGGGUGUAGUAGAAGAAAUACAUAGAGGUACCAAUUAAGGACAAUUACAGAAACAAGGACUGAGACUGCCAUGAAUGUUCUACCUUAUUUUGUUAAGAAAUGUAUUGUGUAUAUACAAAUAUAUUAAACAGAUAUGUGUGUAUUCUUUCCUUGAUUUACCUUCGUAAGAUUGUAUUUUAAUUAUAACAUUUCUUCCUUCCCUCCCCCCUGCAGACCCUCCCAUAGGCCCCUCCUCACUCUCUUUCAAACUCAUGGCCAAUUCUUUUAUCAAUUAUUAUUGAAUAUACAUUUAUUUGUAUAUACAUAUAUAUUCCUAAAUAUAACCUCUUGAGUCCAUAUAUUCUAUACUUUCAGGUCUCAUUAUUUAGCACUGAACAAUAAAUUGGUAUGCUUUUCUGAGGAGGAUAACCUCUCCAAUGUCCAGCUUUACUCAGUUGCCUAUAGUUCUUUAUGUAGAGGUAAGGCCUUGUGGGAUUUUCCCUAUCCAGUUUGUCCUAUUCAAUGGUGUCUUCCUUGUUCAGCUCCCAUUUGGGUAGCCAUGUUAGUGAGACUUUACAGGAUAAAGAAAAUAUGGUGCAUUUACAUAACAGAGUGUUACUCAGUGGGAAAAAAAUGAAAUCUUGAAAUUCUAAACUAAAGGGAUGGAACUAGAAGAAACCAGAUGAGUGGAGCAAUGGGUUUUAUUAAUUGGAUUUCAAAUGCUUGACCUCACUUAAUAUUUAGAAUAAAUCUUCCUUGUUAUGGAUGAUAUAUUUAUGUUUUCAGUUAGAUUGAGCUGUAUCUUAUUUUGAAAAUUAAUACAUCAGAGAAUAUUAUUGACCUUCCUUUAUUUAAUCCUUACUUAUUUUUAUAUGAUCUUAUGGUAAUUCUGGUCUUGUAGACUGAAUUAAAAAUCAUUCAGUCUUCCUCUAGAUUCUGAGGAAUCUCCAUACUGAUUUCCAAAGUGGUUGUACAAGUUGGCACUCCCACCAGCAAUGGAGGAGUGUUCCCCUUUCUCCACAUCCUCUCCAGCAUAAACUGUCAUUGGUGUUUUUGAUUUUAGCAAUUCUGACAGGUGUAAGAUGCUAUUUCAGAGUUGUUUUGAUUUGAAUUUCCCUGAUGGCUAAGGAUGUUGAGCAAUUUCUUAAGUGUCUUUCAGCCAUUUUAUAUUCCUCUAUUGAGAAUUGUCUAUUUAGUUCUGUGCCCCCCUUUUAAUUGAGUGAGGUAACCCAAUCACAGAAAGACAAACAUUGUUUGUACUCACUCGCGUAUGGAUUUUAGACAUAGAGAAAAGAUUUACCAAUCUACAAUCCACACCUCCAGGGAAGCUAGCAAACAAGGAGGACCCUAAGAGAGAUGUACAUGGUCCCCCAGAGAAGGGGAAAGGGACAAGAGCUCCUGAACAUAUUGGGAGCAUGAGGGUUGGGGGAGGUAGGAGAAAUAGGGGUGAGAAGAAGAGGGGAGAGGAGACCAUGAGGUAUCAGGAAUAUUGAGUCAAGAGAAAAAUAGAGGAGAGCAAAAAAAGAGAUACCUUAAUAUAAGGAGCUGUUAUAGGUUUAAAGAGAAAUCUGGCACUAGAGAAAUGUUCAGAAAUCCACAAAGAUGACCCCAACUAAGAAACUAAGCAAUAAUGGAGAGGCUAUCUUAAAUGUCUUUCCCCUAUAAUGAGAUUGGUUACUACCUUAAAUGCCAUCGUAGAGCCUUCAUCCAGUAGCUGAUAGAAACAGAAGCAGAGAUCCGCAGCUAAGCACUGAACUAAACUCCUGGAAUCUAGAUGUAGAGAGGGAGGAGUGAUGAACAAAGGGGUCAAGACCAUGCUUGGAAAACCCACAGAAACAGCUGACCUGAGCAAGUAGUAACUCAGGGACCCCAGUCUGACAGCUGGGGAAUCAGUAUUGGAUUGAACCAGGCUCCCUGAACAUGAGUGUCAGUUAGGAGACCUGGCAGUCUAUGGGGACUCUGGCAGUGGAACCAGUAUUUAUCCCUAGUGAAUGAAUGGAUUUUGGGAGCCCAUUCCCCUAGGAUAGAUACUCUCUCAGCCUAGAUACACAGGGGAGGGCCUAGGCCCUGCCCCAAAUGUUGUGACAGACUUUGAUAAUCCCCCAUGGAAGGCCUCACCCUCCCUAGGGGGUGGAGGGGUGUGGUAUGGAGGAGUUAAUCGGAGAAUGGGAGGGAGAGGGAACUGGGAUUCAUAUGUAAAAGAAGAUUCUUUCUAGUUUAAAUAAAUUUUGUAAUAAAAAUAAAACCCAUUGCAUUGACAAACUAAACAAAAAUAUACAUAAGCAGCUUAUUCAUAUAUAGGUCACACUAUUCAUAAUAAAAAAGAAAAUCUGCCAGAAAACUUAGAAUUGAGACAAAGUUCAUGAGCUUAAUAAGAACAAUCUAGGAAAAUACUUUCAGGAAACAUCCAUUACCCUUCAUAGGAAACUAGAUUUUGUCUAAAUGUGAAGGGAAGCAAAGAAUGAAUGUGUCCAAUUGUGUUCAACAGCAUUCUAGAAGUUCUAGAUAACACAAUGAAACAUGAAACACACACACACACACACACACACACACACACACACACACAAUGAAAAGUGAAACUGUGUUAUAGAUGAAUAAAUACGAUAGAUAUAUGUACAAAUAUAUACUUAUUUGUGUACAAAACUUCCAGCUGUGCAUGGUGAUGCACGCCUUUAAUUCCAGAACUCAU